GAUGUCAGCGGCGGACGGGUGAGUAACACGUGGGUAACCUGCCUGUAAGACUGGGAUAACUCCGGGAAACCGGGGCUAAUACCGGAUGCUUGUUUGAACCGCAUGGUUCAAACAUAAAAGGUGGCUUCGGCUACCACUUACAGAUGGACCCGCGGCGCAUUAGCUAGUUGGUGAGGUAACGGCUCACCAAGGCAACGAUGCGUAGCCGACCUGAGAGGGUGAUCGGCCACACUGGGACUGAGACACGGCCCAGACUCCUACGGGAGGCAGCAGUAGGGAAUCUUCCGCAAUGGACGAAAGUCUGACGGAGCAACGCCGCGUGAGUGAUGAAGGUUUUCGGAUCGUAAAGCUCUGUUGUUAGGGAAGAACAAGUGCCGUUCGAAUAGGGCGGCACCUUGACGGUACCUAACCAGAAAGCCACGGCUAACUACGUGCCAGCAGCCGCGGUAAUACGUAGGUGGCAAGCGUUGUCCGGAAUUAUUGGGCGUAAAGGGCUCGCAGGCGGUUUCUUAAGUCUGAUGUGAAAGCCCCCGGCUCAACCGGGGAGGGUCAUUGGAAACUGGGGAACUUGAGUGCAGAAGAGGAGAGUGGAAUUCCACGUGUAGCGGUGAAAUGCGUAGAGAUGUGGAGGAACACCAGUGGCGAAGGCGACUCUCUGGUCUGUAACUGACGCUGAGGAGCGAAAGCGUGGGGAGCGAACAGGAUUAGAUACCCUGGUAGUCCACGCCGUAAACGAUGAGUGCUAAGUGUUAGGGGGUUUCCGCCCCUUAGUGCUGCAGCUAACGCAUUAAGCACUCCGCCUGGGGAGUACGGUCGCAAGACUGAAACUCAAAGGAAUUGACGGGGGCCCGCACAAGCGGUGGAGCAUGUGGUUUAAUUCGAAGCAACGCGAAGAACCUUACCAGGUCUUGACAUCCUCUGACACCCCUAGAGAUAGGGCUUCCCCUUCGGGGGCAGAGUGACAGGUGGUGCAUGGUUGUCGUCAGCUCGUGUCGUGAGAUGUUGGGUUAAGUCCCGCAACGAGCGCAACCCUUGAUCUUAGUUGCCAGCAUUCAGUUGGGCACUCUAAGGUGACUGCCGGUGACAAACCGGAGGAAGGUGGGGAUGACGUCAAAUCAUCAUGCCCCUUAUGACCUGGGCUACACACGUGCUACAAUGGACAGAACAAAGGGCAGCGAGACCGCGAGGUUAAGCCAAUCCCACAAAUCUGUUCUCAGUUCGGAUCGCAGUCUGCAACUCGACUGCGUGAAGCUGGAAUCGCUAGUAAUCGCGGA
This 1274-nucleotide ribosomal RNA is filed under the name Bacillus sp. JK7. Its description in RNAcentral is "bacterial SSU rRNA". It matches the Rfam family "Bacterial small subunit ribosomal RNA", at positions 88 to 1348 of the family's 1533-position model. Lineage: Bacteria; Bacillati; Bacillota; Bacilli; Caryophanales; Bacillaceae. The record is from RNAcentral.